AGGGGUAUAGCUCAUCUGGUAGAGCGUCGGUCUCCAAAACCGAAUGUUGAGGGUUCGAGUCCUUCUACCCCUGCCA
RNAcentral lists this transfer RNA (76 nucleotides) under Oscillospiraceae bacterium. RNAcentral describes it as "tRNA-Trp". It matches the Rfam family "tRNA". From Rfam's summary of the family: Transfer RNA (tRNA) molecules are approximately 80 nucleotides in length. The record is from RNAcentral. Lineage: Bacteria; Bacillati; Bacillota; Clostridia; Eubacteriales; Oscillospiraceae.